GCAUCGAUGAAGAACGCAGCGAACUGCGAUAAGUAAUGCGAAUUGCAGAAUUCAGCGAGCCAUCGAAUCUUUGAACGCACAUUGCGCCCGCCAGUAUUCUGGCGGGCAUGCCUGUCCGAGCGUCAUUU
Molecule: ribosomal RNA, 128 nt
Filed under: Leptographium olivaceum
Lineage: Eukaryota; Fungi; Ascomycota; Sordariomycetes; Ophiostomatales; Ophiostomataceae
Description: partial 5.8S ribosomal RNA
Rfam family: 5.8S ribosomal RNA
About the family: 5.8S ribosomal RNA (5.8S rRNA) is a component of the large subunit of the eukaryotic ribosome. It is transcribed by RNA polymerase I as part of the 45S precursor that also contains 18S and 28S rRNA.
Source: RNAcentral